Long non-coding RNA from Platichthys flesus (European flounder), 302 nucleotides. RefSeq lists it as uncharacterized. The record is from RefSeq and is a predicted model, not a curated record. NCBI's taxonomy places the organism in Eukaryota, Metazoa, Chordata, Actinopteri, Pleuronectiformes, Pleuronectidae. The transcript has 3 exons.
GGAGAGAGCAGGAGGUCAGAGGAGGGAGCAGGAGGUCAGAGGAGGGAGCAGGAGGUCAGAUGGUGAGAGCAGGAGGUCAGAGGAGGGAGCAGGAGGUCAGAUGGAUAGAGCAGGAGGUCAGAUGGAGAGAGCAGGAGGUCAGAGGAGGGAGCAGGAGGUCAGAGGAGGGAGCAGGAAGCCAGAGGAGGGAGCAGAAGGCCAGAGAAGGGAGAAGGAGGUCAGAGGAGGGAGCAGGAGGUCAGAUGGAGAGAGCAGGAGGUCAGAGGAGGGAGCAGGAAGUCAGAAGAGGGAGCAGGAAGUCA